This 542-nucleotide ribosomal RNA is filed under the name Pseudoantrodia monomitica. RNAcentral's name for it is "Rhodofomitopsis monomitica partial small subunit ribosomal RNA". It matches the Rfam family "Bacterial small subunit ribosomal RNA", at positions 401 to 946 of the family's 1533-position model. Lineage: Eukaryota; Fungi; Basidiomycota; Agaricomycetes; Polyporales; Fomitopsidaceae. The record is from RNAcentral.
GCUAACUGAAAUCAUUUAUUGAUUUUAUCUAAGUGAUGUAAUAAGGGAAAAUAAUGAUAAUACCUUACAUAUAGUGUUGUCAAAUUCUGGUGCCAGAAGACUCGGUAAUGCCAGUAACACGAACGUUAGUCCUCAUUUACAGGCGUAAAGGGUUUGUAGGCAGCUCUUAUAAAAAGAAUUUAAUUUAAUUAAUAAAAAAAACCCUUUAUUAAUAAUUCCAUUUUCUUUUUUAAGAGCUAGAAUCAAAAAGAAGUUAAUAAGUAUAAUACUUAGAGGAGGGUUAAUAUCCAAAUAACCUAAGGGGAGUACUACCGGUGUAAACAACUAACUAUAAAUGAUUGACGCUGAGAGACGAAAGAGAGGAUAGGAAAUAGGAUUAGAUACCCAGGUACCCCUCUCUGUAAACGAUGAAUGGUAGUUGUUAGUUGCAUAUACUAGUGGCGAUGUUAACGCGUUAACCAUUCCGCCUUGGGAGUACGACUGCAAAGUUGAAAACAAAAAAAUUAGUCGGUCUCGAAGCAAACGGAAUGAAGCAUGUUAUU